CAGCAGUAGCCACGGUAAUACGAAGGGGGCUAGCGUUGUUCGGAAUUACUGGGCGUAAAGCGCACGCAGGCGGCUCGAUAAAUUAGAAGUGAAAGCCUUGGGCUUAACCUGAGAAUUGCUUUUAAGACUGUCGAGCUAGAAUCCAGAAGAGGGUAGUGGAAUUCCGAGUGUAGAGGUGAAAUUCGUAGAUAUUCGGAAGAACACCAGUGGCGAAGGCGACUACCUGGUCUGGCAUUGACGCUCAUGUGCGAAAGCGUGGGGAGCAAACAGGAUUAGAUACCCCAGUAGUCCCUGUCUCUUAUAU
RNAcentral lists this ribosomal RNA (304 nucleotides) under uncultured bacterium. RNAcentral's name for it is "partial 16S ribosomal RNA". It matches the Rfam family "Bacterial small subunit ribosomal RNA", at positions 506 to 809 of the family's 1533-position model. The record is from RNAcentral.